Molecule: long non-coding RNA, 783 nt
Organism: Hemicordylus capensis (graceful crag lizard)
Lineage: Eukaryota; Metazoa; Chordata; Lepidosauria; Squamata; Cordylidae
Exons: 2
Source: RefSeq, a predicted model, not a curated record
GCAGGGAGCUCUGCCAGCCUUCUUCCUGGAUUCCUGCCUCCCUUGGGCCUGCCCAGUUCAGGCUUCAGGGAGCCCCGCCCACCCGCCGAUCAGCUGAGAGGCGGGGAGAGAAGAGCUCUGCAGUUUGCAGGCUGCUCUGAUCCUAGGCCUCGUUGCCGAUCCUAGGCCGGAGCUGGAGGCAAGUGGCUGAGGGGCCCUGGGGCUGGGCAGUUGGGCAAUGGGGUGGGGGUGUCAGGAACUGGCAUGGCGCCCCCACCUCAGUGGCGCCUAGAGCACGUGCCCUACCUGCCCCCCCACAGUUCCGCCUGUGUAGAGGUGGUAAACCUAUUGUAACUAGUCUGAGUGUGUGUAGUCCUCUGUUUGAUGGGGAGUACAUUUAAUUAUUUUUGGCCCUGGUGGGGAGACAGCCUGUGUGAGAGAAUUAUGAGGCAAUACUGAGGAAAAAAGGCGAUCUUGAGAAGAAAUUUGAUUAUGAAGUAGAGUUGAGACGAAGAGUAAUGGCAAAAGACUGAAAAGGAGAAACCUACUUCUACAGCCAGAUGACGAUUCUGUUGCAGGUACUCUGCCUUUUCUUCUGCUGUGACCACUAGAUGUCUCCUGUGGCCCAGUUUCACAAGCUGAAUGCAACCUUUGCAAUUCCUCCAGUUAUGGCUAGAAGAAUACAAAGGUAUUUCCCUUGGAUUAUGAACUGCCGAGAGUCUUGAGUAUGGGGCGGUAUAGAAAUGUGCUAGCUAGCUAGCUAGCUGGCUAGCUCAAAUCAAAUCAAAUCAAAUCAAAUCAAAU